Molecule: ribosomal RNA, 253 nt
Filed under: uncultured bacterium
Lineage: Bacteria
Description: partial 16S ribosomal RNA
Rfam family: Bacterial small subunit ribosomal RNA
Source: RNAcentral
UACGUAGGGUGCAAGCGUUAAUCGGAAUUACUGGGCGUAAAGCGUGCGCAGGCGAUUUUGUAAGUCUGUCGUGAAAUCCCCGGGCUUAACCUGGGAAUGGCAUUGGUGACUGCACGGCUAGAGUGUGUCAGAGGGGGGUAGAAUUCCACGUGUAGCAGUGAAAUGCGUAGAGAUGUGGAGGAAUACCGAUGGCGAAGGCAGCCCCCUGGGAUAACACUGACGCUCAUGCACGAAAGCGUGGGGAGCAAACAGG